This is a long non-coding RNA of Capsicum annuum, 1266 nucleotides long. RefSeq lists it as uncharacterized. The record is from RefSeq and is a predicted model, not a curated record. The transcript has 6 exons. Lineage: Eukaryota; Viridiplantae; Streptophyta; Magnoliopsida; Solanales; Solanaceae.
UUAAGUAAAUAUAUCACUAAAAAUAUAGAACCAAACCAAUAACCUUACAACCCCUCUCUCUAAAAAAACUUGGGUUCACAAUCUCAGUGCUGAUGAUGGUUUGAAGACGAUGACGACAACGACUUGGUAGUGACGGCGACGACGAGUUGGUGGAGAAACCUGCCGGGAUCAUUGCUCUUCUUGAUGAAGUUCGUAUGUUCCCAAGAUCAAUUCAUGAGACCUUCGCUGAAAGCUAUAUCAGACCUUUAAAAAUCAUAAGCGGUUCAGCAAGCCAAAGUUGUCUCGGACUGCUUUUACUGUUUGCCACUAUGCUGGUGAUGUCACAUACCAAACUGAGUUCUUUUUGGAUAAGAACAAGGAUUAUGUAGUUCCAUAGCACCAAGCAACACUUAUUGCUUCAAAGUGCCACUUUGUUUCUGGCUUGUUUCCACCUUUACCUGAAGAUUCUUCUAAACAGACCAAGUUCUCCUCUAUUGGUGCUCGAUUUAAAAUAAACUUUGCUCGUUCAAAAAGGAGAAACAUACCAAAUAUCCAUAUCAUCUCGGGGCAGCUUAGUUCGAAAAAAGACACUCAUCGUUAUAAGUGCCAUUACAGCGAGCUGAGAAAACGUAAGAGAAACAAAGAGAUCAUUACAAUUGGUACAUAUUCAUGGGACAAGCCAACAUUUCCCAAGAAAGAACAAAAUUCUAAAUUAUUUUCAAUAAAGACAACUACUGCACAACUAAUGCACAACAUCACAUAGGAAUAAUUUCUUGUCACUGUACUUGUUGUAGUUGAAGAAAGUGAAAUUUGAUACUAUAGGUUAACCAUAUACAGAUUUUUGGUGUCAGUUUAAUGCCUUUGAUUUAAAGACUGCAUUGCAAAAUACAAAGUUAAGGUGGGAAUAUAUGCGAAUGAGUACCUGUUCCGAUAAUGAAGCUUUGUGCAGUUAUUUGCUCUUUCCCGAUUCACUUUACACAUCUAUAUCAUGUCAAAACAUUUCAUGAUGUAGGCAAGCACCCGGUGGUAGAAACGACAAUCUAACGUCUUGGUGACUAUUCUAACACUGUGCAGUUAGUGAUGCCAAAUUUACCAAGUUUGAGGCAUUAGUCAAGAAGCAUAUGCCCCAUGUAUUUGAGGAUGGGGAAGAUAGUGAAUCAGAUGAUUAGAUUAUAUUGUAGUGGUUGGUUCUUGUUUAUGAUUGUGACAUUUAUUUAGACUUAAAACUAUUACAAUUGGUUUGUGACGUUUAGACUUGUCUUGAAAUGCUUAAACUAUUUGAUUCAA